UUUUAAUUGAAGAGUUUGAUCAUGGCUCAGAUUGAACGCUGGCGGCAGGCUUAACACAUGCAAGUCGAGCGGUAGCACAGGGGAGCUUGCUCCCUGGGUGACGAGCGGCGGACGGGUGAGUAAUGUCUGGGAAACUGCCUGAUGGAGGGGGAUAACUACUGGAAACGGUAGCUAAUACCGCAUAACGUCGCAAGACCAAAGAGGGGGACCUUCGGGCCUCUUGCCAUCAGAUGUGCCCAGAUGGGAUUAGCUAGUAGGUGGGGUAAUGGCUCACCUAGGCGACGAUCCCUAGCUGGUCUGAGAGGAUGACCAGCCACACUGGAACUGAGACACGGUCCAGACUCCUACGGGAGGCAGCAGUGGGGAAUAUUGCACAAUGGGCGCAAGCCUGAUGCAGCCAUGCCGCGUGUGUGAAGAAGGCCUUCGGGUUGUAAAGCACUUUCAGCGAGGAGGAAGGUGGUGAGCUUAAUACGUUCAUCAAUUGACGUUACUCGCAGAAGAAGCACCGGCUAACUCCGUGCCAGCAGCCGCGGUAAUACGGAGGGUGCAAGCGUUAAUCGGAAUUACUGGGCGUAAAGCGCACGCAGGCGGUUUGUUAAGUCAGAUGUGAAAUCCCCGGGCUCAACCUGGGAACUGCAUUUGAAACUGGCAAGCUAGAGUCUCGUAGAGGGGGGUAGAAUUCCAGGUGUAGCGGUGAAAUGCGUAGAGAUCUGGAGGAAUACCGGUGGCGAAGGCGGCCCCCUGGACGAAGACUGACGCUCAGGUGCGAAAGCGUGGGGAGCAAACAGGAUUAGAUACCCUGGUAGUCCACGCUGUAAACGAUGUCGAUUUGGAGGUUGUGCCCUUGAGGCGUGGCUUCCGGAGCUAACGCGUUAAAUCGACCGCCUGGGGAGUACGGCCGCAAGGUUAAAACUCAAAUGAAUUGACGGGGGCCCGCACAAGCGGUGGAGCAUGUGGUUUAAUUCGAUGCAACGCGAAGAACCUUACCUACUCUUGACAUCCAGAGAACUUUCCAGAGAUGGAUUGGUGCCUUCGGGAACUCUGAGACAGGUGCUGCAUGGCUGUCGUCAGCUCGUGUUGUGAAAUGUUGGGUUAAGUCCCGCAACGAGCGCAACCCUUAUCCUUUGUUGCCAGCGGUUCGGCCGGGAACUCAAAGGAGACUGCCAGUGAUAAACUGGAGGAAGGUGGGGAUGACGUCAAGUCAUCAUGGCCCUUACGAGUAGGGCUACACACGUGCUACAAUGGCAUAUACAAAGAGAAGCGACCUCGCGAGAGCAAGCGGACCUCAUAAAGUAUGUCGUAGUCCGGAUUGGAGUCUGCAACUCGACUCCAUGAAGUCGGAAUCGCUAGUAAUCGUAGAUCAGAAUGCUACGGUGAAUACGUUCCCGGGCCUUGUACACACCGCCCGUCACACCAUGGGAGUGGGUUGCAAAAGAAGUAGGUAGCUUAACCUUCGGGAGGGCGCUUACCACUUUGUGAUUCAUGACUGGGGUGAAGUCGUAACAAGGUAACCGUAGGGGAACCUGCGGUUGGAUCACCUCCUUACC
This 1547-nucleotide ribosomal RNA is filed under the name Serratia marcescens. RNAcentral describes it as "bacterial SSU rRNA". It matches the Rfam family "Bacterial small subunit ribosomal RNA". Lineage: Bacteria; Pseudomonadati; Pseudomonadota; Gammaproteobacteria; Enterobacterales; Yersiniaceae. The record is from RNAcentral.